RNAcentral lists this ribosomal RNA (407 nucleotides) under uncultured bacterium. RNAcentral's name for it is "partial 16S ribosomal RNA". It matches the Rfam family "Bacterial small subunit ribosomal RNA", at positions 28 to 526 of the family's 1533-position model. The record is from RNAcentral.
GACGAACGCUGGCGGCGUGCUUAACACAUGCAAGUCGAGCGGAGCGGCGGACGGGUGAGUAAUGCCUAGGCAUCUGCCUGGUAGUGGGGGAUAACGUCCGGAAACGGGCGCUAAUACCGCAUAAUAUCAGAUGAGCCUAGGUCGGAUUAGCUAGUUGGUGGGGGAAAGGCCUCACAAGGCGACGAUCCGUAACUGGUCUGAGAGGAUGAUCAGUCAAACUGGACCUGGAACACGGUCCAGACUCCUACGGGAGGGAGCAGUGGGGAAUAUUGGAAAAUGGGCGAAAGCCUGAUCCAGCCAUGCGGCGUGUGUGAAGAAGGUCUUCGGAUUGUAAAGCACUUUAAGUUGGGAGGCGUUACCAACAGAAUAAGCACCGGCUAACUUCGUGCCAGCCGCCGCGGUAAUAC